UUCCUCUUGCAUAAAAGGGAGGUAAAGUCUGCUCGGUGUAAUUGAUUAACAGCUGCAGUAACUUGACUGUACAAAGGUAGCGUAAUCACUUGUCUUUUAAUUGAAGACUAGAAUGAACGGCUUAACCAAGCUAAUUCUGUCUCUUUUUAACCUUAAGAAAUUUAAGAUUUAAGUUAAAACGCUUAAAUUAUUUAGAGGGACGAGAAGACCCUGAAGAUCUUUAUUCUUACUUUAUUUUAAAUAAUAAUUAUAAGAAUUUAUUUGGGAUGAAUGUAAUAAACAUUAUGGUUUACUAAGACUUAAACGUCUUUAUUCUGACCCGUUUAAACGAGAAUCUGUUUAAGUUACCUCAGGGAUAACAGCGCAAUGUCUUUUAUUAGACCUUAUAAAAACAGAAGUUUGCGACCUCGAUGUUGAAUUGAGUUAAACUUUAAGUAGAAGAGUACUUAAGAGUAGGACUGUUCGUCUUUUAAUAGCU
RNAcentral lists this ribosomal RNA (478 nucleotides) under Pediculus humanus capitis (human head louse). Its description in RNAcentral is "partial 16S ribosomal RNA". It matches the Rfam family "Bacterial large subunit ribosomal RNA", at positions 1821 to 2596 of the family's 2925-position model. Lineage: Eukaryota; Metazoa; Arthropoda; Insecta; Psocodea; Pediculidae. The record is from RNAcentral.